ACAGUACACAGUAUUGUUAAAUCUUGUGUCUUUUUAUUGACAGUACACAGUAUUGUUAAAUCUUGUGUCCAGACUGUUCGCAUAGUAACAUAAAAGUACAUUUUGAACUACUUGUAGUCAUGCUUUAUAUUAAGUGAUGUGGUGUUGUUAUGGAUGUAAACCUAUGGUAUUUGGUAAGUGUUAACAUUAAUUGUAACAUUUGUAUGCUGUUUUAUUUGAGUAUAGAACUGAGAUAAAGCAUGUCAUAAGGUGUUUUUUAUUUAUUUAUUUAUUUUAUUUUUUUGAUGGAUUCCUUUAGGAAUUGCUGGCCCUCCAGAGGACUCAUCUUUUCAGACCAUACUUUUGUUUAUUGUGCCGAAUAAAUUAUGAGGUUAGCAGCGUGAACUUCGUACAUUUGCCGUAACCUAUCAUGCCUGUUGGUGGUCACUCACAUUCAGUCCAGCGCAGGCCCAUUUCAACAUUACUGUAGAUACAAUAACUCAAAGAGGCUUACCAAGAAAGUUUGCUUGAGUGGAAAAACUGCAUCUAUUUUGCACUGUCACUGGAUAAACUGGCAAUACGAACACAUCUUGAACAUCUAGUAAAGUAAAUGGAUGAUGUGGACAGUCUACAAUACAAACAAAUGGCAGGUGCUUGAAAAAGGAUCAACAUAGAGGUAGGCUUGAAAUCUUUUGCCAUCCAACUUAGUAAUGUGCAAUUUUCACCCACUUCUUUAGAAUUACAUAAAGUAGACAUUUUUCUUUAAUUGGAUAUUGUGUUUGAAAUAAUUUAGAUAGAGAUAGACAUGAUACAAUGAAAGCUGGCGGGAGCAAGUAUAUUAAAAAAUUAUUGAAAUUGUUUUUGAUAAUUGUGGACUUUUUGGUACAGAUGAAAACAUUAAAAUCUCAUUAAAUUUCAAAGACUCAAUUAUAUUCAGGAAUUCAUGUUUCACAAGUUAUUUUGUAUUGAUUCAAAGAAUCUGGCCAUGCAUUAUAUUACAAUACAGAAUUUAUAGAUCUCACAAAGUAUUUUAUAACGUCUAUAAUUAGUAUAUAUGUUUUUGAGUCAAAAGUAUUAAAUUUUAUAACAUACUAAUACAUCUUUGUACUUGUGUCUUAAAUUCAAGUCUGAGACUGUUCAGCUAAUUUUGUAAAGAAAAUUAAAAUCAACUUUUGCUUCUUAAUGAUCAAAUGCACGGUAUGCCAUUACAUUAUCAUUUCCUUUUAUUAGUAAAAAUUUACUAAAAAAGAUUUUAAAGCAAAACUGAUACGUAUUCUAGCAUGUAUCAGUUGUGCUUUAGAAUUGAUAAAAAAAAUGCUUACAUAGUACUUCAUAUCUGCCUUUUAAAAUACCCAGUUUGCUAAUGAUUGGUCAGUAACUUGUCUUAGUGGAAACUGAAUUCUUUAAGUAUUAUCUGAAUAUGUCAUGAAAUGAUCAGUUUUUACUUGUCCAAUCAUUACAAUUGUAAACAUUUGUAUAUUUAGUAUCUGUCUUAAAUGUUUAAUGAAAUGACUAGUUUCAUGUUAAGUAAUCUGUAAUUGUGAUCAUUAAAACAUGAAUUAUUUGGAAAAAUUCAUUGUUUACUUACCAUCCUAGUAGUAAAUACAAUGAUUAUUUAUUGCCCCAAAAUGACCAGAGAGGACAUAGACCACUCUGGCAUGUGUGGUCUUAAAUAGUCCCUGGCCUUUAUGUGCCAAAAGUUUAAUUUAUUAUUUUCUUUCCUGGUUAAAAGUUAACAUCAUAGCUUUUGUUUAUAUUGUUAUUUUUCUCUAGAGUAUAAUACAUGUAUAUAACAACAGAAGGUGUUUGUAUCAUGUU
RNA transcript from Limulus polyphemus (Atlantic horseshoe crab), 1797 nucleotides. RefSeq lists it as uncharacterized. The transcript has 6 exons. NCBI's taxonomy places the organism in Eukaryota, Metazoa, Arthropoda, Merostomata, Xiphosura, Limulidae. The record is from RefSeq and is a predicted model, not a curated record.